AUGGUGAGUCUUUCCAUGGUAGUUGAUGGAGGACAUUGGUGGUGCGAAGUAAGUGAUGAUGUGGGCCUGCGCCCCAGCAUGGACCAUCAGAUUUUCACACACACAGGGAAGUCUAUGUUGAACACUGUGAAUGUUGAGGGAUUGCAUAUAUGUUCCGGUCAGGACCUCACAGUGAACUUAGCAUUGGUCAUUCAUGGGGGCAGGGACUUUGCUGGUGUGCAGGUAAGGGAGGCUGUGGCCCUACACCACGGCACAAGCCAUCUGAUCUCCAAAUAG
This 276-nucleotide long non-coding RNA is filed under the name Mustela putorius furo (domestic ferret). Its description in RNAcentral is "lncRNA (ENSMPUG00000025359.1)". Lineage: Eukaryota; Metazoa; Chordata; Mammalia; Carnivora; Mustelidae. The record is from RNAcentral.